CUCGUAGUUGGAUUUCUGGCAGGAGCGACCGGUCACACACUCUGUGCGUGAACUUGUGUUGUCUCUGGCCAUCCUUGGGGAGAUCCUGUUUGGCAUUAAGUUGUCGGGCAGGGGAUACCCAUCGUUUACUGUGAAAAAAUUAGAGUGUUUAAAGCAGGCUUAUGCCGUUGAAUAUAUUAGCAUGGAAUAAUAAGAUAGGACUUCGGAACUAUUUUGUUGGUUUGCGUUACGAAGUAAUGAUUAAUAGGGACAGUUGGGGGUAUUCGUAUUGCAUUGUCAGAGGUGAAAUUCUUGGAUUUCUGCAAGACGAACUACUGCGAAAGCAUUUACCAA
RNAcentral lists this ribosomal RNA (333 nucleotides) under Thalassiosira hyalina. RNAcentral describes it as "SSU rRNA". It matches the Rfam family "Eukaryotic small subunit ribosomal RNA", at positions 627 to 961 of the family's 1831-position model. Lineage: Eukaryota; Bacillariophyta; Thalassiosirophyceae; Thalassiosirales; Thalassiosiraceae. The record is from RNAcentral.